GAUGAACGCUGGCGGCGUGCCUAAUACAUGCAAGUCGAGCGAACAGACGAGGAGCUUGCUCCUCUGACGUUAGCGGCGGACGGGUGAGUAACACGUGGAUAACCUACCUAUAAGACUGGGGUAACUUCGGGAAACCGGAGCUAAUACCGGAUAAUAUAUUGAACCGCAUGGUUCAAUAGUGAAAGACGGUUUUGCUGUCACUUAUAGAUGGAUCCGCGCCGCAUUAGCUAGUUGGUAAGGUAACGGCUUACCAAGGCAACGAUGCGUAGCCGACCUGAGAGGGUGAUCGCCCACACUGGAACUGAGACACGGUCCAGACUCCUACGGGAGGCAGCAGUAGGGAAUCUUCCGCAAUGGGCGAAAGCCUGACGGAGCAACGCCGCGUGAGUGAUGAAGGUCUUCGGAUCGUAAAACUCUGUUAUUAGGGAAGAACAAAUGUGUAAGUAACUAUGCACGUCUUGACGGUACCUAAUCAGAAAGCCACGGCUAACUACGUG
This 497-nucleotide ribosomal RNA is filed under the name uncultured bacterium. RNAcentral describes it as "partial 16S ribosomal RNA". It matches the Rfam family "Bacterial small subunit ribosomal RNA", at positions 28 to 507 of the family's 1533-position model. The record is from RNAcentral.